Molecule: transfer RNA, 96 nt
Filed under: Puccinia coronata f. sp. avenae
Lineage: Eukaryota; Fungi; Basidiomycota; Pucciniomycetes; Pucciniales; Pucciniaceae
Rfam family: tRNA
About the family: Transfer RNA (tRNA) molecules are approximately 80 nucleotides in length. Their secondary structure includes four short double-helical elements and three loops (D, anti-codon, and T loops).
Source: Rfam by way of RNAcentral
GGGCAGAUGGCCGAGUGGUCUAAGGCGCUAGUUUUAGGUUCUCCUGAAGAUCAAAUCACUAGUCUUCGGGCGUGGGUUCAAAUCCCACUCUGCUCA